GAUGAACGCUAGCGGCAGGCCUAAUACAUGCAAGCUGAACGGCAAUCCCGCCAGCAAUGGCGGGACUAGAGUAGCGUAAGGGUGCGUAACACGUAUGCAAUCUGCCCUCAACAGGAGGAUAGCUCCCGAAAGGGGAAUUAAGACUCCAUAAUAUCAAUUUAAUGGCAUCAUUGGAUGAUUAAACUACCGAGGGGUUGAGGAUGAGCAUGCGCAUGAUUAGUUAGUUGG
This 228-nucleotide ribosomal RNA is filed under the name uncultured bacterium. Its description in RNAcentral is "partial 16S ribosomal RNA". It matches the Rfam family "Bacterial small subunit ribosomal RNA", at positions 28 to 252 of the family's 1533-position model. The record is from RNAcentral.